RNAcentral lists this ribosomal RNA (497 nucleotides) under uncultured bacterium. RNAcentral describes it as "partial 16S ribosomal RNA". It matches the Rfam family "Bacterial small subunit ribosomal RNA", at positions 28 to 507 of the family's 1533-position model. The record is from RNAcentral.
GAUGAACGCUGGCGGCGUGCCUAAUACAUGCAAGUCGAGCGAACGGACGAGAAGCUUGCUUCUCUGAUGUUAGCGGCGGACGGGUGGGUAACACGUGGAUAACCUACCUAUAAGACUGGGAUAACUUCGGGAAACCGUAGCUAAUACCGGAUAAUAUUUUGAACCGCAUGGUUCAAAAGUGAAAGACGGUCUUGCUGUCACUUAUAGAUGGAUCCGCGCUGCAUUAGCUAGUUGGUAAGGUAACGGCUUACCAAGGCAACGAUGCAUAGCCGACCUGAGAGGGUGAUCGGCCACACUGGAACUGAGACACGGUCCAGACUCCUACGGGAGGCAGCAGUAGGGAAUCUUCCGCAAUGGGCGAAAGCCUGACGGAGCAACGCCGCGUGGGUGAUGAAGGUCUUCGGAUCGUAAAACUCUGUUAUUAGGGAAGAACAUAUGUGUAAGUAACUGUGCACAUCUUGACGGUACCUAAUCAGAAAGCCACGGCUAACUACGUG